AACUGCAGUCGAGCGGUAACAGGUGUAGCAAUACAUGCUGACGAGCGGCGGACGGGUGAGUAACGCUUGGGAAUCUGCCUGUUAGUGGGGGACAACCCGGGGAAACUCGGGCUAAUACCGCAUACGCACUACGGUGGAAAGCCGGGGACCGCAAGGCCUGGYGCUAACAGAUGAGCCCAAGUCGGAUUAGCUAGUUGGUAGGGUAACGGCCUACCAAGGCGACGAUCCGUAACUGGUCUGAGAGGACGACCAGUCACACCGGAACUGAGACACGGUCCGGACUCCUACGGGAGGCAGCAGUGGGGAAUAUUGGACAAUGGGCGAAAGCCUGAUCCAGCGACGCCGCGUGGGUGAAGAAGGCCUGCGGGUUGUAAAGCCCUUUCGGUGGGGAAGAAAAGCCUCGAGCUAACACCUCGGGGUCUUGACGUAACCCAUAGAAGAAGCACCGGCUAACUCUGUGCCAGCAGCCGCGGUAAUACAGAGGGUGCGAGCGUUAAUCGGAAUUACUGGGCGUAAAGCGCGCGUAGGCGGCUUUGCAAGUCGGGUGUGAAAUCCCCAGGCUUAACCUGGGAACUGCAUUCGAGACUGCAUUGCUAGAGUAUGGGAGAGGGAAGUGGAAUUUCCGGUGUAGCGGUGAAAUGCGUAGAUAUCGGAAGGAACAUCAGUGGCGAAWGCGACUUCCUGGACCAAUACUGACGCUCAUGUGCGAAGCGUGGGAGCAACAGGAUUAGAUCCCUGGUAGUCACGCAUAACGAUGAGACUGAUGUCGGAGG
Molecule: ribosomal RNA, 773 nt
Filed under: uncultured bacterium
Lineage: Bacteria
Description: bacterial SSU rRNA
Rfam family: Bacterial small subunit ribosomal RNA
Source: RNAcentral